AGUGAACGCUGGCGGUAGGCCUAACACAUGCAAGUCGAACGGCAGCACAGUAAGAGCUUGCUCUUACGGGUGGCGAGUGGCGGACGGGUGAGGAAUACAUCGGAAUCUACUUUUUCGUGGGGGAUAACGUAGGGAAACUUACGCUAAUACCGCAUACGACCUACGGGUGAAAGCAGGGGAUCUUCGGACCUUGCGCGAUUGAAUGAGCCGAUGUCGGAUUUGCUAGUUGGCGGGGUAAAGGCCCACCAAGGCGACGAUCCGUAGCUGGUCUGAGAGGAUGAUCAGCCACACUGGAACUGAGACACGGUCCAGACUCCUACGGGAGGCAGCAGUGGGGAAUAUUGGACAAUGGGCGCAAGCCUGAUCCAGCAAUACCGCGUGGGUGAAGAAGGCCUUCGGGUUGUAAAGCCCUUUUGUUGGGAAAGAAAAGCAGCAGGUUAAUACCCCGCUGUGAUGACGGUACCCAAAGAAUAAGCACCGGCUAACUUCGUG
RNAcentral lists this ribosomal RNA (492 nucleotides) under uncultured bacterium. RNAcentral's name for it is "partial 16S ribosomal RNA". It matches the Rfam family "Bacterial small subunit ribosomal RNA", at positions 29 to 507 of the family's 1533-position model. The record is from RNAcentral.